UACGUAGGGCGCAAGGCGUUGUCCGGAAUUAUUGGGCGUAAAGGAGCUCGUAGGCGGGUCCGUCGCGUCGGGAGUGAAAACUCGGAGCUUAAACUCCGACGCCUGCCUUCCGAUACGGGCAGUACUAGAGGUAGGCAGGGGAGAGCGGAACUCCUGGUGUAGCGGUGGAAUGCGCAGAUAUCAGGAAGAACACCGGUGGCGAAGGCGGGUCUCUGGGCCGUAACUGACGCUGAGGAGCGAAGCGUGGGGAGCGAACAGG
RNAcentral lists this ribosomal RNA (259 nucleotides) under uncultured bacterium. RNAcentral describes it as "partial 16S ribosomal RNA". It matches the Rfam family "Bacterial small subunit ribosomal RNA", at positions 524 to 776 of the family's 1533-position model. The record is from RNAcentral.